GAUGAACGCUGACAGCAUGCUUAACACAUGCAAGUCAUUGGCGAAGCUGCGCUUGCGCAGUCUAGCCAAGGCGGACGGGUGAGUAACGCGUAAGGAACUUGCCCUGCAGACAUGGAUAACAGACGGAAACGACUGAUAACACCUGGUAUUGUCAGGCUGGCGCAUGCCGGCCUGAUGAAAGGAGACGCUGCAGGAGAGCCUUGCGUCCUAUUAGCUAGUUGGUGGGGUAACGGCCCACCAAGGCGAUGAUAGGUAGCCGGCCUGAGAGGGUGAACGGCCACAAGGGGACUGAGAUACGGCACUUACUCCUACGGGAGGCAGCAGUGGGGAAUAUUGGAAAAUGGGGGCAACCCUGAUACAGAAAUUCUGUGUGCACGAAGAAGGUUUUCGGAUUGUAAAGUGCUUUCAGCAGGGAAGAAGAAAGUGACGGUACCUGCAGAAGAAGCGACGGCUAAAUACGUG
This 462-nucleotide ribosomal RNA is filed under the name uncultured bacterium. RNAcentral's name for it is "partial 16S ribosomal RNA". It matches the Rfam family "Bacterial small subunit ribosomal RNA", at positions 28 to 507 of the family's 1533-position model. The record is from RNAcentral.